AUAGAGAUGCAUGGAGCAUGGCUUUUCCUUCAUCUUCCUCCGCGAAGGAACAUCGAUAUUCUCUCUUCGACACCUCGUCUCAAUUCCCCAUGAUAUUCUUCAGCAUCCUCGAUAAAUGAGCGAAUUAGUUUAGAGGUUGAUGAAGGUUUGCUUAUUCAAUUGCGAAAAAUAAAAUCAGGCCUAUGACGUAAGAGUAAAUAUUUGGUGAGUCAUUUGUCGGAUGUGUAUUUGUUUUCGAUUGUUCCUUUUAUACAAUGAGUGUAAUGAAAAUUAUUAUUUAUUUUUUCUCGACUGUUCCCUUUAUAUAAUGAGUAUAAUGAAAAAUAUUCUUUGUUU
Long non-coding RNA from Papaver somniferum (opium poppy), 336 nucleotides. RefSeq lists it as uncharacterized. The transcript has 2 exons. NCBI's taxonomy places the organism in Eukaryota, Viridiplantae, Streptophyta, Magnoliopsida, Ranunculales, Papaveraceae. The record is from RefSeq and is a predicted model, not a curated record.